CCUACGGGCGGCAGCAGUAGGGAAUAUUGCUCAAUGGGGGAAACCCUGAAGCAGCAACGCCGCGUGGAGGAUGAAGGUUUUCGGAUUGUAAACUCCUUUUGUUAGAGAAGAUAAUGACGGUAUCUAACGAAUAAGCACCGGCUAACUCCGUGCCAGCAGCCGCGGUAAUACGGAGGGUGCAAGCGUUACUCGGAAUCACUGGGCGGAAAGAGCGCGUAGGCGGGAUAGCAAGUCAGAUGUGAAAUCCUAUGGCUUAACCCUAGAACUGCAUUUGAAACUGGUAUUCUAGAGUAUGGGAGAGGUAGGUGGAAUUCUUGGUGUAGGGGUAAAAUCCGUAGAGAUCAAGAGGAAUACUCAUUGCGAAGGCGACCUGCUAGAACAUAACUGACGCUGAUGCGCGAAAGCGUGGGGAGCAAACAGGAUUAGAUACCCGGGUAGUC
This 440-nucleotide ribosomal RNA is filed under the name uncultured bacterium. Its description in RNAcentral is "partial 16S ribosomal RNA". It matches the Rfam family "Bacterial small subunit ribosomal RNA", at positions 338 to 795 of the family's 1533-position model. The record is from RNAcentral.